GACGAACGCUGGCGGCGUGCCUAAUACAUGCAAGUCGAACGCAUUUUCUUUCACCGUAGCUUGCUACACCGAAAGAAAAUGAGUGGCGAACGGGUGAGUAACACGUGGGUAACCUGCCCAUCAGCGGGGGAUAACACUUGGAAACAGGUGCUAAUACCGCAUAAUUCCAUUUACCGCAUGGUAAAUGGAUGAAAGGCGCUUUUGCGUCACUGAUGGAUGGACCCGCGGUGCAUUAGCUAGUUGGUGGGGUAACGGCCUACCAAGGCUGCGAUGCAUAGCCGACCUGAGAGGGUGAUCGGCCACACUGGGACUGAGACACGGCCCAGACUCCUACGGGAGGCAGCAGUAGGGAAUCUUCGGCAAUAGACGCAAGUCUGACCGAGCAACGCCGCGUGAUUGAAGAAGGUUUUCGGAUCGUAAAACUCUGUUGUUAGAGAAGAACAAGGAUGAGAGUGGAAAGUUCAUCCCUUGACGGUAUCUAACCAGAAAGCCACGGCUAACUACGUG
RNAcentral lists this ribosomal RNA (507 nucleotides) under uncultured bacterium. RNAcentral describes it as "partial 16S ribosomal RNA". It matches the Rfam family "Bacterial small subunit ribosomal RNA", at positions 28 to 507 of the family's 1533-position model. The record is from RNAcentral.